This 340-nucleotide ribosomal RNA is filed under the name Arthrobacter woluwensis. RNAcentral describes it as "bacterial SSU rRNA". It matches the Rfam family "Bacterial small subunit ribosomal RNA", at positions 117 to 457 of the family's 1533-position model. Lineage: Bacteria; Bacillati; Actinomycetota; Actinomycetes; Micrococcales; Micrococcaceae. The record is from RNAcentral.
GUGAGUAACCUGCCCUUGACUCUGGGAUAAGCCUGGGAAACUGGGUCUAAUACCGGAUACGACCAUUGCCCGCAUGGGUUGGUGGUGGAAAGCUUUUGUGGUUUUGGAUGGACUCGCGGCCUAUCAGCUUGUUGGUGAGGUAAUGGCUCACCAAGGCGACGACGGGUAGCCGGCCUGAGAGGGUGACCGGCCACACUGGGACUGAGACACGGCCCAGACUCCUACGGGAGGCAGCAGUGGGGAAUAUUGCACAAUGGGCGAAAGCCUGAUGCAGCGACGCCGCGUGAGGGAUGACGGCCUUCGGGUUGUAAACCUCUUUCAGUAGGGAAGAAGCGAAAGU